Long non-coding RNA from Drosophila obscura, 493 nucleotides. RefSeq lists it as uncharacterized. The transcript is spliced from 4 exons. The record is from RefSeq and is a predicted model, not a curated record. Lineage: Eukaryota; Metazoa; Arthropoda; Insecta; Diptera; Drosophilidae.
AUUAUCCGUAGCUGUCUUUGCUGUGCCUCCUGAGUCUGAGUCUAAGUCCAAAUCUAGCUCUGAGUCUGGCUCUGGCACAGCUGUCAGUGCACGGCACUCACCGACAUCAAUUCCACUCCGAGUGCCAGACACGCGACGUGUUACACUCUCAAAGCACUCCCCAGCAGCAUUGAUCUUAACUUUGUUCAAGCACAACUUUAAUUAGAUCAUGAUACUUAUACGAUUUUUCAUUAAUGACUCCGCGAGCCUGCGGCUUUCGUUCAGACACAGAACCAGAGGCACAGAUCGAAUGAGCGAAUAGAGAUGGAGAGCAGAGACAUAUGGAGACCCAACCAGACCAGAUCGGAUCGGACUCCACCCCACCCCACGGCUUUGUGCUUUGGUUUGGCUUAAAUCGCAUACGAUUUGCAUGCAAUUGACAGUGAAACAUGUUUCCCUGGUAUAAUAAAUAAAUCAAGAAUCGAUGUUUGGCUGUUAUACAUAAAAGCCGAGG